Regulatory RNA element from Pasteurella bettyae, 114 nucleotides. It matches the Rfam family "Alpha operon ribosome binding site". Rfam says of the family: The bacterial alpha operon ribosome binding site is surrounded by this complex pseudoknotted structure. Translation of the mRNA produces 4 ribosomal protein products, one of which (S4) acts as a translational repressor by binding to the nested pseudoknot region. The mechanism of repression is thought to involve a conformational switch in the pseudoknot region and ribosome entrapment. NCBI's taxonomy places the organism in Bacteria, Pseudomonadati, Pseudomonadota, Gammaproteobacteria, Pasteurellales, Pasteurellaceae. The record is from Rfam.
UCCUUGGUACACUGUUUGAGUAUCCUGAAACGGGCUUUUCAAGAUCAGUGUUGCCAAAUUAGUUAAAAAUAGGAGUGCAUAGUGGCCCGUAUUGCAGGCAUUAACAUUCCUGAU